UACGGAGGGUGCAAGCGUUGUCCGGAAUCACUGGGCGUAAAGGGCGCGUAGGCGGCGUGGUAAGUCACUUGUGAAAUCUCUGAGCUUAACUCAGAACGGUCAAGUGAUACUGCUGUGCUAGAGUGCGGAAGGGGCAAUCGGAAUUCUUGGUGUAGCGGUGAAAUGCGCAGAUAUCAGGAAGAACACCCGUGGCUAAGGCGGCUCUCUAGUACGGUACUGACGCUGAGACGCGAAAGCGUGGGGAGCGAACAGG
RNAcentral lists this ribosomal RNA (253 nucleotides) under uncultured bacterium. RNAcentral's name for it is "partial 16S ribosomal RNA". It matches the Rfam family "Bacterial small subunit ribosomal RNA", at positions 524 to 776 of the family's 1533-position model. The record is from RNAcentral.